This 70-nucleotide transfer RNA is filed under the name Metaplax longipes. RNAcentral describes it as "tRNA-Asp". Lineage: Eukaryota; Metazoa; Arthropoda; Malacostraca; Decapoda; Varunidae. The record is from RNAcentral.
AAGAAGUUAGUUAACCAAAUUAUAACCUUUGUUUGUCAUACAAAAAUCAUCUAAAUUAAGAUACUUCUUA